Molecule: long non-coding RNA, 272 nt
Filed under: Lathyrus oleraceus (garden pea)
Lineage: Eukaryota; Viridiplantae; Streptophyta; Magnoliopsida; Fabales; Fabaceae
Description: Pisum sativum (pea) long non-coding RNA (PSAT_LNC001744)
Source: RNAcentral
GAAUACGUCGAUCACCGGAUACAUGCCAAAAUUUGUUGGUGGAGGCAAGAAAAAAGGAGGGGGGAAAAGAAGAAAAUAGUAAGAAAGAAAGAAAUACAAGGAAAAAAAGAUCAAUCAACUUGCAUUAGCAUAUUGCAUACGUCAUGCAUAUCCAACCUCUCAUAAAUACCAUUUACCCAGAAAUAACCUUUUAAUCCCCGACAGCUGCCAUGCAUAAAAGCCAAUUUAUUCAUCUGAUAUCCCAGUGAAUAAAUUCUUUAUGACCCAUCUUC